UACGUAGGGUGCAAGCGUUGUCCGGAAUUAUUGGGCGUAAAGAGCUCGUAGGCGGUCUGUUGCGUCCGCUGUGAAAACUCGGGGCUUAACCCCCGAGCUGCAGUGGAUACGGGCAGACUAGAGGUAGGUAGGGGAGAAUGGAAUUCCCGGUGUAGCGGUGAAAUGCGCAGAUAUCGGGAGGAACACCGGUGGCGAAGGCGGUUCUCUGGGCCUUACCUGACGCUGAGGCGCGAAAGCUAGGGUAGCAAACGGG
RNAcentral lists this ribosomal RNA (253 nucleotides) under uncultured bacterium. RNAcentral describes it as "partial 16S ribosomal RNA". It matches the Rfam family "Bacterial small subunit ribosomal RNA", at positions 524 to 776 of the family's 1533-position model. The record is from RNAcentral.